This 1528-nucleotide ribosomal RNA is filed under the name Enterobacter sp. BIDMC92. RNAcentral's name for it is "bacterial SSU rRNA". It matches the Rfam family "Bacterial small subunit ribosomal RNA". The record is from RNAcentral. Lineage: Bacteria; Pseudomonadati; Pseudomonadota; Gammaproteobacteria; Enterobacterales; Enterobacteriaceae.
AGAGUUUGAUCAUGGCUCAGAUUGAACGCUGGCGGCAGGCCUAACACAUGCAAGUCGAACGGUAGCACAGAGAGCUUGCUCUCGGGUGACGAGUGGCGGACGGGUGAGUAAUGUCUGGGAAACUGCCUGAUGGAGGGGGAUAACUACUGGAAACGGUAGCUAAUACCGCAUAAUGUCGCAAGACCAAAGAGGGGGACCUUCGGGCCUCUUGCCAUCAGAUGUGCCCAGAUGGGAUUAGCUAGUAGGUGGGGUAACGGCUCACCUAGGCGACGAUCCCUAGCUGGUCUGAGAGGAUGACCAGCCACACUGGAACUGAGACACGGUCCAGACUCCUACGGGAGGCAGCAGUGGGGAAUAUUGCACAAUGGGCGCAAGCCUGAUGCAGCCAUGCCGCGUGUAUGAAGAAGGCCUUCGGGUUGUAAAGUACUUUCAGCGGGGAGGAAGGCGUUGAGGUUAAUAACCUCAGCGAUUGACGUUACCCGCAGAAGAAGCACCGGCUAACUCCGUGCCAGCAGCCGCGGUAAUACGGAGGGUGCAAGCGUUAAUCGGAAUUACUGGGCGUAAAGCGCACGCAGGCGGUCUGUCAAGUCGGAUGUGAAAUCCCCGGGCUCAACCUGGGAACUGCAUUCGAAACUGGCAGGCUAGAGUCUUGUAGAGGGGGGUAGAAUUCCAGGUGUAGCGGUGAAAUGCGUAGAGAUCUGGAGGAAUACCGGUGGCGAAGGCGGCCCCCUGGACAAAGACUGACGCUCAGGUGCGAAAGCGUGGGGAGCAAACAGGAUUAGAUACCCUGGUAGUCCACGCCGUAAACGAUGUCGACUUGGAGGUUGUGCCCUUGAGGCGUGGCUUCCGGAGCUAACGCGUUAAGUCGACCGCCUGGGGAGUACGGCCGCAAGGUUAAAACUCAAAUGAAUUGACGGGGGCCCGCACAAGCGGUGGAGCAUGUGGUUUAAUUCGAUGCAACGCGAAGAACCUUACCUACUCUUGACAUCCAGAGAACUUUCCAGAGAUGGAUUGGUGCCUUCGGGAACUCUGAGACAGGUGCUGCAUGGCUGUCGUCAGCUCGUGUUGUGAAAUGUUGGGUUAAGUCCCGCAACGAGCGCAACCCUUAUCCUUUGUUGCCAGCGGUCCGGCCGGGAACUCAAAGGAGACUGCCAGUGAUAAACUGGAGGAAGGUGGGGAUGACGUCAAGUCAUCAUGGCCCUUACGAGUAGGGCUACACACGUGCUACAAUGGCGCAUACAAAGAGAAGCGACCUCGCGAGAGCAAGCGGACCUCAUAAAGUGCGUCGUAGUCCGGAUUGGAGUCUGCAACUCGACUCCAUGAAGUCGGAAUCGCUAGUAAUCGUAGAUCAGAAUGCUACGGUGAAUACGUUCCCGGGCCUUGUACACACCGCCCGUCACACCAUGGGAGUGGGUUGCAAAAGAAGUAGGUAGCUUAACCUUCGGGAGGGCGCUUACCACUUUGUGAUUCAUGACUGGGGUGAAGUCGUAACAAGGUAACCGUAGGGGAACCUGCGGUUGGAUCACCU